RNAcentral lists this ribosomal RNA (1372 nucleotides) under uncultured bacterium. Its description in RNAcentral is "bacterial SSU rRNA". It matches the Rfam family "Bacterial small subunit ribosomal RNA", at positions 28 to 1381 of the family's 1533-position model. The record is from RNAcentral.
GAUGAACGCUGGCGGCGUGCCUAAUACAUGCAAGUCGAGCGAACGGACGAGAAGCUUGCUUCUCUGAUGUUAGCGGCGGACGGGUGAGUAACACGUGGAUAACCUACCUAUAAGACUGGGAUAACUUCGGGAAACCGGAGCUAAUACCGGAUAAUAUUUUGAACCGCAUGGUUCAAAAGUGAAAGACGGUCUUGCUGUCACUUAUAGAUGGAUCCGCGCUGCAUUAGCUAGUUGGUAAGGUAACGGCUUACCAAGGCAACGAUGCAUAGCCGACCUGAGAGGGUGAUCGGCCACACUGGAACUGAGACACGGUCCAGACUCCUACGGGAGGCAGCAGUAGGGAAUCUUCCGCAAUGGGCGAAAGCCUGACGGAGCAACGCCGCGUGAGUGAUGAAGGUCUUCGGAUCGUAAAACUCUGUUAUUAGGGAAGAACAUAUGUGUAAGUAACUGUGCACAUCUUGACGGUACCUAAUCAGAAAGCCACGGCUAACUACGUGCCAGCAGCCGCGGUAAUACGUAGGUGGCAAGCGUUAUCCGGAAUUAUUGGGCGUAAAGCGCGCGUAGGCGGUUUUUUAAGUCUGAUGUGAAAGCCCACGGCUCAACCGUGGAGGGUCAUUGGAAACUGGAAAACUUGAGUGCAGAAGAGGAAAGUGGAAUUCCAUGUGUAGCGGUGAAAUGCGCAGAGAUAUGGAGGAACACCAGUGGCGAAGGCGACUUUCUGGUCUGUAACUGACGCUGAUGUGCGAAAGCGUGGGGAUCAAACAGGAUUAGAUACCCUGGUAGUCCACGCCGUAAACGAUGAGUGCUAAGUGUUAGGGGGUUUCCGCCCCUUAGUGCUGCAGCUAACGCAUUAAGCACUCCGCCUGGGGAGUACGACCGUAAGGUUGAAACUCAAAGGAAUUGACGGGGACCCGCACAAGCGGUGGAGCAUGUGGUUUAAUUCGAAGCAACGCGAAGAACCUUACCAAAUCUUGACAUCCUUUGACAACUCUAGAGAUAGAGCUUUCCCCUUCGGGGGACAAAGUGACAGGUGGUGCAUGGUUGUCGUCAGCUCGUAUCGUGAGAUGUUGGGUUAAGUCCCGCAACGAGCGCAACCCUUAAGCUUAGUUGCCAUCAUUAGGUUGGGCACUCUAAGUUGACUGCCGGUGACAAACCGGAGGAAGGUGGGGAUGACGUCAAAUCAUCAUGCCUCUUAUGAUUUGGGCUACACACGUGCUACAAUGGACAAUACAAAGGGCAGCGAAACCGCGAGGUCAAGCAAAUCCCAUAAAGUUGUUCUCAGUUCGGAUUGUAGUCUGCAACUCGACUACAUGAAGCUGGAAUCGCUAGUAAUCGUAGAUCAGCAUGCUACGGUGAAUACGUUCCCGGGUCU